UUUGAAGAGAUUCCAUUUUGAAGGGCAAGAACCUAAUGUGAUGGAUUUAUCUUCAGAAAUGAACAGACAUGGGAAGAAUCCAGUGAGUCACAAGCUAGAAGAUCAGAAGAAGAUCCAGCAAGGAGCCUCCCAGAUGGAGUACAUGGAGACCAUGACUGUGAAAGAUGAGGAUCAAGUGCAGAUUUGGUGGCCUCUGAUUGCCAGUAUCUGGCAGCCACAUUCUCUUCCCACAAGAUGUGCUGGAAAUAUGACCAAGCAGAAGUUCACUUAAGUGAAUCCAACAGUUAAACCUACCAUGGAAGGGUGUGGUGCACAGAGGGCAUGUGGAGAAGAGAAGACCACAGUGGGAACCUCCAAGGAACUAACAUCUAGCUGGGGAUGAGGGGGGAUUUGGCUAUGUAGAGAGUAAAUAAAGUGAUAUGAG
RNAcentral lists this long non-coding RNA (424 nucleotides) under Homo sapiens (human). RNAcentral's name for it is "long non-coding RNA NONHSAT029614.2". The record is from RNAcentral. Lineage: Eukaryota; Metazoa; Chordata; Mammalia; Primates; Hominidae.